Molecule: non-coding RNA, 106 nt
Organism: Hydrogenophaga sp. A37
Lineage: Bacteria; Pseudomonadati; Pseudomonadota; Betaproteobacteria; Burkholderiales; Comamonadaceae
Source: Rfam
CGCCUUGUGGGUGAAAGCCCGACGGCCGAGCCGGAGCGAGAAGUCAGCAGAGGUCGUAGUAGCUGCAAGCCGGGGCCGAUGAGGCCACAAGGCCAGAGCGAAGGAC